This 498-nucleotide ribosomal RNA is filed under the name uncultured bacterium. RNAcentral's name for it is "partial 16S ribosomal RNA". It matches the Rfam family "Bacterial small subunit ribosomal RNA", at positions 28 to 523 of the family's 1533-position model. The record is from RNAcentral.
GAUGAACGCUAGCGGCAGGCCUAAUACAUGCAAGUCGAACGAGAUUGAGGAGCUUGCUCUUCAUGAAAGUGGCGCACGGGUGCGUAACGCGUAUGCAACCUACCUUAAUCAGGGGGAUGGCCUCUCGAAAGAGAGAUUAACACCGCAUAACAUUAUUAUAUGGCAUCAUAUGAUAAUCAAAUAUUUAUAGGAUUAAGAUGGGCAUGCGUGACAUUAGUUAGUUGGCGGGGUAACGGCCCACCAAGACGAUGAUGUCUAGGGGAUCUGAGAGGAUGACCCCCCACACUGGUACUAAGACACGGACCAGACUCCUACGGGAGGCAGCAGUAAGGAAUAUUGGUCAAUGGGCGCAAGCCUGAACCAGCCAUGCCGCGUGCAGGAAGACGGCCCUACGGGUUGUAAACUGCUUUUAUACUGGAAUAAACCUACUUACGUGUAAGUAGCUGAAUGUACAGUAAGAAUAAGGAUCGGCUAACUCCGUGCCAGCCGCCGCAGUAA